This 708-nucleotide long non-coding RNA is filed under the name Monodelphis domestica (gray short-tailed opossum). RNAcentral's name for it is "lncRNA (ENSMODG00000050730.1)". Lineage: Eukaryota; Metazoa; Chordata; Mammalia; Didelphimorphia; Didelphidae. The record is from RNAcentral.
AAAUCCGUGCUCUGGGCGAGGAUGUUUCACCACUUGACCUGUAAAAUGAAAAAUAGGGAAGCCAAGAGAAACUAAUCUGGUAUACUUCUCUAAAAGGAAACCAUACAGAGCCUCCAUGGAAUCCUGUACAUCAAGGAAACCACGAGCAAUAAUGGCAGCAGGUUCCUAGCCUUAGCUUGUAGACUUCAGAGGUGGCAGAGCUAAUGGAGUUUCAAAACCAAACAGAAUUCUAAGAAAAAAUAACAAGCUGGAGAUGAGCAGCAAGGGAAGCCAGACCCAUCAUGUGGACGAACCAACUCGGGAUCCUUAAUGAGCCAGUAUGGAAGUUGGAAGAACCCAACAUCAGGAAUCGGAGGACAAAAACCACUUGUUUGCUGCUGAUCAGUUCUAAGUGAUAACAUGAUUAAAAUUAAAAUUAGUUGAUCCUCCAAGUUGCCUAAUUACGAAAAGAACCUCUGAAUGAUUUCCUUUGUUCUACAAGGAGGCUUAAAUCCAGUUUAAGGUUAGUUUUGAACCACAUGACUGUUGAGUAGUAACCCUUUCCCAAUAAGAUGUAAGGCAGUAGCAGUUAUUCUUUCUAUUAAUCACCUUCUUUCCCAUCAAUAGGUACUGAGCAUUUGGGUAUUAUGUUAUCAAGUACAAUGUAGUAUUUAUUUUUAACUUUAUGUAAUCAAAAUAAAAGGGAAAAUCUAAUUUCUGUUUAUACCA